GUACACUCCUACGGGAGGCAGCAGUGGGGAAUUUUGGACAAUGGGCGAAAGCCUGAUCCAGCAAUGCCGCGUGCAGGAUGAAGGCCUUCGGGUUGUAAACUGCUUUUGUACGGAACGAAAAAGCUCCUUCUAAUACAGGGGGCCCAUGACGGUACCGUAAGAAUAAGCACCGGCUAACUACGUGCCAGCAGCCGCGGUAAUACGUAGGGUGCGAGCGUUAAUCGGAAUUACUGGGCGUAAAGCGUGCGCAGGCGGUUAUGUAAGACAGAUGUGAAAUCCCCGGGCUCAACCUGGGAACUGCAUUUGUGACUGCAUGGCUAGAGUACGGUAGAGGGGGAUGGAAUUCCGCGUGUAGCAGUGAAAUGCGUAGAUAUGCGGAGGAACACCGAUGGCGAAGGCAAUCCCCUGGACCUGUACUGACGCUCAUGCACGAAAGCGUGGGGAGCAAACAGGAUUAGAAACCCUGGUAGUCC
Molecule: ribosomal RNA, 473 nt
Filed under: uncultured organism
Description: partial 16S ribosomal RNA
Rfam family: Bacterial small subunit ribosomal RNA
Source: RNAcentral